CUUCGUGCCGAAUUCGGUGACCAGCUUCGCGUGCGUUGCGUCCUUUGCAAACGAUCCUUCGCAGGCCAGCGACGGGGCUUUCGGCGCAUCCUUCACAUUGUUGAGCGAGGUAUCUUGCGCCAUCGGCUCCGCCGGUUUGGCGGGCUUGUCGGCCUUCUUCGCGGCGUCAGCGCCGGUAACUGCCAGAGCGCAGAUCAGCAGGGC
RNAcentral lists this unclassified non-coding RNA (204 nucleotides) under Hevea brasiliensis (rubber tree). The record is from RNAcentral. Lineage: Eukaryota; Viridiplantae; Streptophyta; Magnoliopsida; Malpighiales; Euphorbiaceae.